ACAAACAUGUCAGCACUCAAAUGUGCGUAAGUGUGCUUUCGAGUGUGCGUAGAUUCUGUUGCCUAAGAACAAAUUUCAAAUAAGAAAACAUUGAUGAAUGUCAGAAUCUUCGUGAAAACUACGUAAGUGGGUUUUAAGAAGGAAAUUAUUAAGAACAGUCGAUGAAUGAGGCCCAUUUGUCUUUCUUUUCAUUCUUUUUCCCCUGUCCUUUUGUCUCUUGAGAAUUAGUGGUUAUUCUGCCUCAGGUGAAUAGCUUAAAGAAUCCCUGUUCAGUUGCGUUUGGUCUUCCAAAACCCCCACUCCAUCACACGAUAUUUGGAGAGGACAGGUCAAAAUGACCCCAACAAAUUCAAACAGAAAAGAUAAUACAAUAACAUACACAGCUCUUUUGAUGAAUUUUCAGUUUGUUCUUUCAUAUUCAGAAAUGUAUUUUCUUUCAUGUUCCUACACAGACAUGACAGCAUUUUAAAAAAUAUCCAGUUGAAUUGUGUUGGUACCGCUCCUGACAAGUCAUUUUUUUCUUUCCAUUUUCGGACUCCAGAUGGCAAUUCCGUUUACAUACUGUGACCUUUUGGCUGGCUGAACAUCCCAGACAGCAAGAAUUAAAAGAGGACACCAGGUAGUCAGCUGCAGUGCUGGCGUGAUCAACCUCAUUAUUAAUGGAAGGUCACACACCUGCUUUGGAGCCCAGGAGCACUGUCUCAGUGGAACGUGUUAACAUUGGUCCUACAUUGACCAUAAGGAGGAAUAAAGACACUGCACCUGGCUGAUGUGACAUUUACAAA
Molecule: long non-coding RNA, 785 nt
Organism: Anguilla rostrata (American eel)
Lineage: Eukaryota; Metazoa; Chordata; Actinopteri; Anguilliformes; Anguillidae
Exons: 2
Source: RefSeq, a predicted model, not a curated record